This 460-nucleotide ribosomal RNA is filed under the name Pseudoxenodon bambusicola. RNAcentral's name for it is "partial 12S ribosomal RNA". Lineage: Eukaryota; Metazoa; Chordata; Lepidosauria; Squamata; Pseudoxenodontidae. The record is from RNAcentral.
CCCUACUAUGCCUAGCCUUAAAACAACAGUUAAAUAACCAACUGUUCGCCUAAUAACUACGAGUGAAAACUUAAAAUUUAAAAGACUUGACGGUAUUUCACAACAACCUAGAGGAGCCUGUCCAAUAACCGAUACCCCACGAUUAACCCUACCUGCCCUAGCCUUAACAGUCUAUAUACCGCCGUCGCCAGCUUACCUUAUGAAAGAAACAAAGUGAGCCCAAUAAUAACACAUUAAUACGACAGGUCGAGGUGUAACUAAUGAGUAGGCCAAAGAUGGGCUACAUUUUCUUAAACAGAAAAGCACGAAUCAACUAUGAAAUUAGAAACUGAAGGCGGAUUUAGCAGUAAGCUAACAACAAAAUACUUAGCUAAAAUAAUAGCAAUGAAAUGCGUACACACCGCCCGUCAUCCCUGUAAAACACCUAAACACAUACAUAAUUCCUCCUACACUUAAAACA